Non-coding RNA from Paramisgurnus dabryanus, 3071 nucleotides. NCBI's taxonomy places the organism in Eukaryota, Metazoa, Chordata, Actinopteri, Cypriniformes, Cobitidae. The record is from RefSeq and is a predicted model, not a curated record.
UUGGAUGGUUCCAGCCCUCCCAUUACUGAGGUGCACUUGUUUUCCAGCGGCGCAAUAAUGCAACAAACGCCUUUAAAUAACAAAAUAUCAACCAAUAAUAUUCCACAAAAUCAUUAAAAGCUCACAAAACGACAGUUACCUACCCAGAAGACGAAAGAAUAGACGAUAAGGAGAGUUUUGAGGCAGGUUAUCACUGGUUUGGUCUCCAUUCUCCUCGAUGCCAUGAGCGCAGUGGCUGCUGUGAUUCUCCGCUGCGCCUCCGCCACUGCGGUCCAGUCACUCCGGAUCCGUCUAGCCAAUCAGAGGACGAUAUGAUAACAAUAGAACCCGCCUCCUUACAUCGGGCCUGUUGCUGGCCAAUCACAGGAGGAGAGGGAGCGUUGAAGCACCGCCCUUGAGGAAUGACGCCCUCUGCUGGACGUCACAUGACAGUUGACGACAGUUGCGCUAGAGCACCGUGUGAAAUAUGUUCACAAUCUGGCUUCACAUUUAACAAGCUGUCCUGCUAUAUUUGGCACCCCAAAUUUGCAACCUAUUGAGACCCGGUGGAGUGAGAGUCUGCUCGCAGCUUUUACACGAGACCAAAGCAGGCAAGUUACAAACACAGAGAAAACACAGCUGUCACGUCCAUAGUAUUCAUGUGGUUAAAGCUGAAUGCAUGGGGCCUUUCACACUCACCAUGUGACAUGACACUAAACUAACACCCUAAAUGACCCCACUGUACUCGUGAUCAUAUAGCAUGAAAAAACGACCCACCAAUAGAACCCAACACAUUACCAGUAGUGACCAUUAUAGUUUCCAUUAAAACAAAAAAGCAUUGGAAUUCCUGUAAUGGGAAUUGACAUUAAAGAUGUUUAAUGUGAAUGGAUGAGGAUAGCCACAGACACCAGUUAUAAAUUUGUAAUAUAAGACAGAAGUGUUUGCUCUAAUAAGAAAAAAUGUCCAGUGUAAGAAAUUAGAAAACCUGUUGGGUAUAUUAACUUUACAAGGGUGUGUUUGAUGGCAGAGAGCAAACAUACAGCCACACCAUACAACGAAACGUAUUAAAGUUGUGAUAAUGAUAAGAUAAGGAGUUAAGUGCAGAAUGCUAUUGGUCCAAUUUGGUUUGUGCAUACACUUGUUUUUAACCCAUGGUUAGGUAAAAUAUAGACAAUAAUGCUGGGUUCUUUUAACCUGUAGUUAGGUAACAACAACCAAGCAUAUAAUUAUUGUUUUUUGGAGUGUACAAUUGUACGAUUUUAGCACACAUCACAGUUCCGUUUUCCAGCAUUUGCAAAAAAAUUUGAGAAAAAGGAAAAAUUGCUCAUAUCAGCAUUUAGGUGUUUUGGAUGCAACUACUAAUACCAGUUUUAUUUAAAGGGAUAGUUUGGAAAAAAUUGUCAUUAUUUACUACAUCAUGUGUUACAAACCUGUAUGGUUUUUUUUGUGUGUUUUUUAUGAAGACAAUUUGAGGAAUGUUUGUAACAAAACUGUUUGAGCCCCAUUCACUUAGAAUACUAUGGAAGUGAAUGGGGCUCAAACUGUUUGUUUACAAACAUUACUCACAAUAUCUUCAAUUGUGUUCAUCAGAAUUUAUUUAUUUUAUUUAUACAGAUUUGUAACAACACGAAAGUUAGUAAAUGAUGACAGAAUUUUCUUUUUUUGGGGGGUAAACUAUCCCUUUAAGUAGAUGAAAUCUGUGUAAAAUCAAGAUUAUCCAAGCUCCAGUACCUAAUGGGGCGGUUUCCCAGAUAGGAAUUAGACUAGUCCUAGACUAAAAUAAAAAUGUAAGAGUUGUCCAAACUGAAAACAACUUGCUCUGACAUAUCUUUAAAUACAUGAGUGCCCUUUGUUUUGCCUCAAAAUGCACACAAGUAAUGUUUUUAGUAAGGCAUGUUUGUACAAAACUAGUUAUAUUUCCUAAUUAAACUAAGGUCUAGUCCUGGCUUAAGCCAAUCCCUGUCCUGGAAACCAGUCCUAUAUGCUAUGAUCAAAUAUGGACUUUUAAACCAAUUGUUCGUUUCGUCCAUUUUUUACCCAACCACAGGUUCGAAAACAAAACAUUUUAUAGUGUGACAUUUAUUUAUUUUUAGCAAACAAAACAAUCAACAAAUAAUGAAAAUAACAAAAAUUAUUUGGUAGCACUUAUAUGCACGUACAAAAUCAUCAAUACGCCACCUGCUGUUUAAAAAAAAAAAUCAGCAAUUUUUUCUUAAAUUACUUUAUUACACCAUUUAUUUUGAAGGAGAUAAUGUUUUUUUUUUAUAACUGAGAUUUUUUUAAGGUAGAUCAUUGCAUUAAGCAGUGCAAAAGGUUGUGGGUUCAAUCCCAGAGAACACAUAUUUAAGAAAUAUUUGACGACAGGCCGUUGAAUUAUUCGAAAAAAAUGCACACCCAAUGUGGUAAUGCGAUGCAUUAUUUUUAAAUAAUUAUACCACGGUACAACAUAAAUUGCUCUGGUGAUUAUUUUAAAACAUUUGACAGGUGUGCAUUUUACAUAAAAAUAAUUGAAACAUUUCUCAACCAAUCAGAAUAAAGCAUUCAACAGCCCCCGUUGUAUAAAAUAAUAUAAUGUAUACCUUGAAAGUAACCCACUGCAAGUCACUUUGGAGUAAAAAGAGUCUCACAAAUGCAUAAAUGUAAAUCAAAUCGAAAGCAUUGAAACAUAAUAGCCUAUAACUGUUAUAUAAAACAAGACAUUUCAGAUACACCCACAUCUAGACAAUGAGGCACAAAUGUUAAUAUACUGUAUAAAGUCUAUUUGAUCUUGGUCACUUCAUCAAAAUCAAAAUCAUAAAUCAGCUUCCUGGUACAAAUUCAGUUUCAUCAAGAAAUUAAAAUGUAAACUUAUUCUGCAUGUGCAAUGGACAAAACAUUAAACAAUUAAUGCUGGGAACUUGAUAGACAUUACAGUACAGUUUGUAUAGUGCAGAACGCUUUAGGUGGUCCCUCUCUCCAUAAUCCAUCCAAAUUGUAUAACCUGAUUUAUAGGCUGUGUCUGAUAUAGCUCCCUAUACUUGUAGUGGUGUCUGAAAUUAUAGUCAAUACCAUAUUUCACCGCAAUAAUGAGUGUACGACUAGCCACUACCUAU